This 245-nucleotide ribosomal RNA is filed under the name uncultured Solirubrobacterales bacterium. RNAcentral's name for it is "partial 16S ribosomal RNA". It matches the Rfam family "Bacterial small subunit ribosomal RNA", at positions 524 to 768 of the family's 1533-position model. The record is from RNAcentral. Lineage: Bacteria; Bacillati; Actinomycetota; Thermoleophilia; Solirubrobacterales.
UACGUAGGGAGCAAGCGUUGUCCGGAAUCAUUGGGCGUAAAGCGCGCGUAGGUGGCCACAUAAGUCCGUUGUGAAAGUCAAAGGCUCAACCUUUGAAAGCCGAUGGAUACUGUGUGGCUAGAGUACGGAAGAGGCGAGUGGAAUUCCUGGUGUAGCGGUGGAAUGCGCAGAUAUCAGGAGGAACACCAAUAGCGAAGGCAGCUCGCUGGGACGUUACUGACACUGAGGCGCGAAAGCGUGGGGAG